AUUGAACGCUGGCGGCAUGCCUAACACAUGCAAGUCGAACGGCAGCACAGCAGUAGCAAUACUGUGGGUGGCGAGUGGCGGACGGGUGAGGAAUACGUCGGAAUCUGCCCAGUCGUGGGGAGUAACUAGCCGAAAGGUUAGCUAAUACCGCAUACGACCGAGAGGUGAAAGCGGGGACCGGCAAGGCCUCGCGCGAUUGGAUGAGCCGACGUCGGAUUAGCUAGUUGGCGGGGUAAAGGCCCACCAAGGCGACGAUCCGUAGCUGGUCUGAGAGGAUGAUCAGCCACACUGGAACUGAGACACGGUCCAGACUCCUACGGGAGGCAGCAGUGGGGAAUAUUGGACAAUGGGCGCAAGCCUGAUCCAGCAAUGCCGCGUGUGUGAAG
This 386-nucleotide ribosomal RNA is filed under the name uncultured bacterium. RNAcentral's name for it is "bacterial SSU rRNA". It matches the Rfam family "Bacterial small subunit ribosomal RNA", at positions 29 to 410 of the family's 1533-position model. The record is from RNAcentral.